CUAGGAGUCACUUCCUAGAUUAUACUGCAUUUCUCAUAUGCAAUCAAAUUUGAUUGGGCGGCGACACCCAUCAAAUUUUGGCGCCGGUGCCGGGGACCAACGGUUAGGUUUUAGGUCUUUUGUUGUGUUAGUGUGCGUUGUGUUUUGUCUUGUGUUGUGAGUGUGUCGUUCUGUUUGUAUGUGUUCGUCAUUGUGUGUUGCAUUUAGAUAAGCUUUAGUUGCAUAUCUUCAUUGCAUUUUUCUUGCCCCCUUCUUUCUUUCUACAUGUCCAC
RNAcentral lists this long non-coding RNA (272 nucleotides) under Vigna radiata. RNAcentral's name for it is "long non-coding RNA (VRAD_LNC004746)". The record is from RNAcentral. Lineage: Eukaryota; Viridiplantae; Streptophyta; Magnoliopsida; Fabales; Fabaceae.